Molecule: ribosomal RNA, 495 nt
Filed under: uncultured delta proteobacterium
Lineage: Bacteria; Deltaproteobacteria
Also listed under: 1 other name
Description: bacterial SSU rRNA
Rfam family: Bacterial small subunit ribosomal RNA
Source: RNAcentral
CAGGCCUAACACAUGCAAGGUCGAGGGGCAGCACGAGUAGCAAUACUUGGUGGCGACCGGCGCACGGGUGCGUAACGCGUAUGCAACCUACCUUUAACUGGAGCAUAGCCCCGAGAAAUCGGGAUUAAUACUCCAUAACAACAAGAAGUGGCAUCACUUUUUAUUUAAAGCUUUGGCGGUUAAAGAUGGGCAUGCGUGACAUUAGUUUGUUGGUGAGGUAACGGCUCACCAAGACUACGAUGUCUAGGGGUUCUGAGAGGAUUAACCCCCACACUGGUACUGAGACACGGACCAGACUCCUACGGGAGGCAGCAGUGAGGAAUAUUGGUCAAUGGACGCAAGUCUGAACCAGCCAUGCCGCGUGCAGGAUGAAGGCCUUAUGGGUUGUAAACUGCUUUUAUACGGGAAUAAACUUAGCUAUGUAUAGCUAACUGCAGGUACCGUACGAAUAAGCACCGGCUAACUCCGUGCCAGCAGCCGCGGUAAUACAAGGGC